AGUCGAACGGCAGCACGGGAGCAAUCCUGGUGGCGAGUGGCGAACGGGUGAGUAAUACAUCGGAACGUGUCCUGGAGUGGGGGAUAGCCCGGCGAAAGCCGGAUUAAUACCGCAUACGCUCUGUGGAGGAAAGGGGGGGAUCUUAGGACCUCCCGCUCAAGGGGCGGCCGAUGGCAGAUUAGCUAGUUGGUGGGGUAAAGGCCUACCAAGGCGACGAUCUGUAGCUGGUCUGAGAGGACGACCAGCCACACUGGGACUGAGACACGGCCCAGACUCCUACGGGAGGCAGCAGUGGGGAAUUUUGGACAAUGGGGGAAACCCUGAUCCAGCAAUGCCGCGUGUGUGAAGAAGGCCUUCGGGUUGUAAAGCACUUUUGUCCGGAAAGAAAACCAUCGCCCUAAUAUGGUGGUGGGAUGACGGUACCGGAAGAAUAAGCACCGGCUAACUACGUGCCAGCAGCCGCGGUAAUACGUAGGGUGCAAGCGUUAAUCGGAAUUACUGGGCGUAAAGCGUGCGCAGGCGGUUCGCUAAGACAGAUGUGAAAUCCCCGGGCUUAACCUGGGAACUGCAUUUGUGACUGGCGGGCUAGAGUAUGGCAGAGGGGGGUAGAAUUCCACGUGUAGCAGUGAAAUGCGUAGAGAUGUGGAGGAAUACCGAUGGCGAAGGCAGCCCCCUGGGCCAAUACUGACGCUCAUGCACGAAAGCGUGGGGAGCAAACAGGAUUAGAUACCCUGGUAGUCCACGCCCUAAACGAUGUCAACUAGUUGUCGGGUCUUCAUUGACUUGGUAACGUAGCUAACGCGUGAAGUUGACCGCCUGGGGAGUACGGUCGCAAGAUUAAAACUCAAAGGAAUUGACGGGGACCCGCACAAGCGGUGGAUGAUGUGGAUUAAUUCGAUGCAACGCGAAAAACCUUACCUACCCUUGACAUGUAUGGAAUCCUGCUGAGAGGUGGGAGUGCCCGAAAGGGAGCCAUAACACAGGUGCUGCAUGGCUGUCGUCAGCUC
This 1007-nucleotide ribosomal RNA is filed under the name Paraburkholderia sediminicola. RNAcentral describes it as "bacterial SSU rRNA". It matches the Rfam family "Bacterial small subunit ribosomal RNA", at positions 60 to 1061 of the family's 1533-position model. The record is from RNAcentral. Lineage: Bacteria; Pseudomonadati; Pseudomonadota; Betaproteobacteria; Burkholderiales; Burkholderiaceae.